CAGCAGUAGCCGCGGGAAUACGAAGGGGGCUAGCGUUGCUCGGAAUUACUGGGCGUAAAGGGCGCGCAGGCGGAUGUUUAAGUCAGAGGUGAAAGCCCAGGGCUCAACCUUGGAACUGCCUUUGAUACUGGACAUCUUGAGUGUGGGAGAGGUGAGUGGAACUCCGAGUGUAGAGGUGAAAUUCGUAGAUAUUCGGAAGAACACCAGUGGCGAAGGCGACUCACUGGCCCAUUACUGACGCUGAGGCGCGAAAGCGUGGGGAGCAAACAGUAUUAGAUACCCGAGUAGUCCCUGUCUCUUAUAU
RNAcentral lists this ribosomal RNA (304 nucleotides) under uncultured bacterium. Its description in RNAcentral is "partial 16S ribosomal RNA". It matches the Rfam family "Bacterial small subunit ribosomal RNA", at positions 506 to 809 of the family's 1533-position model. The record is from RNAcentral.